Molecule: ribosomal RNA, 1372 nt
Filed under: uncultured bacterium
Lineage: Bacteria
Description: bacterial SSU rRNA
Rfam family: Bacterial small subunit ribosomal RNA
Source: RNAcentral
GAUGAACGCUGGCGGCGUGCCUAAUACAUGCAAGUCGAGCGAACAGAUAAGGAGCUUGCUCCUUUGAAGUUAGCGGCGGACGGGUGAGUAACACGUGGGUAACCUACCUAUAAGACUGGGAUAACUUCGGGAAACCGGAGCUAAUACCGGAUAACAUUUAGAACCGCAUGGCUCUAAAGUGAAAGAUGGUUUUGCUAUCACUUAUAGAUGGACCCGCGCCGUAUUAGCUAGUUGGUAAGGUAACGGCUUACCAAGGCGACGAUACGUAGCCGACCUGAGAGGGUGAUCGGCCACACUGGAACUGAGACACGGUCCAGACUCCUACGGGAGGCAGCAGUAGGGAAUCUUCCGCAAUGGGCGAAAGCCUGACGGAGCAACGCCGCGUGAGUGAUGAAGGGUUUCGGCUCGUAAAACUCUGUUAUUAGGGAAGAACAAAUGUGUAAGUAACUGUGCACAUCUUGACGGUACCUAAUCAGAAAGCCACGGCUAACUACGUGCCAGCAGCCGCGGUAAUACGUAGGUGGCAAGCGUUAUCCGGAAUUAUUGGGCGUAAAGCGCGCGUAGGCGGUUUCUUAAGUCUGAUGUGAAAGCCCACGGCUCAACCGUGGAGGGUCAUUGGAAACUGGGAAACUUGAGUGCAGAAGAGGAAAGUGGAAUUCCAUGUGUAGCGGUGAAAUGCGCAGAGAUAUGGAGGAACACCAGUGGCGAAGGCGACUUUCUGGUCUGUAACUGACGCUGGUGUGCGAAAGCGUGGGGAUCAAACAGGAUUAGAUACCCUGGUAGUCCACGCCGUAAACGAUGAGUGCUAAGUGUUAGGGGGUUUCCGCCCCUUAGUGCUGCAGCUAACGCAUUAAGCACUCCGCCUGGGGAGUACGACCGCAAGGUUGAAACUCAAAGGAAUUGACGGGGACCCGCACAAGCGGUGGAGCAUGUGGUUUAAUUCGAAGCAACGCGAAGAACCUUACCAAAUCUUGACAUCCUUUGAAAACUCUAGAGAUAGAGCCUUCCCCUUCGGGGGACAAAGUGACAGGUGGUGCAUGGUUGUCGUCAGCUCGUGUCGUGAGAUGUUGGGUUAAGUCCCGCAACGAGCGCAACCCUUAAGCUUAGUUGCCAUCAUUAAGUUGGGCACUCUAGGUUGACUGCCGGUGACAAACCGGAGGAAGGUGGGGAUGACGUCAAAUCAUCAUGCCCCUUAUGAUUUGGGCUACACACGUGCUACAAUGGACAAUACAAAGGGCAGCUAAACCGCGAGGUCAUGCAAAUCCCAUAAAGUUGUUCUCAGUUCGGAUUGUAGUCUGCAACUCGACUACAUGAAGCUGGAAUCGCUAGUAAUCGUAGAUCAGCAUGCUACGGUGAAUACGUUCCCGGGUCU